CCUAACACAUGCAAGUCGAACGGUAACAGGAAGAAGCUUGCUUCUUUGCUGACGAGUGGCGGACGGGUGAGUAAUGUCUGGGAAACUGCCUGAUGGAGGGGGAUAACUACUGGAAACGGUAGCUAAUACCGCAUAACGUCGCAAGACCAAAGAGGGGGACCUUCGGGCCUCUUGCCAUCGGAUGUGCCCAGAUGGGAUUAGCUAGUAGGUGGGGUAACGGCCCACCUAGGCGACGAUCCCUAGCUGGUCUGAGAGGAUGACCAGCCACACUGGAACUGAGACACGGUCCAGACUCCUACGGGAGGCAGCAGUGGGGAAUAUUGCACAAUGGGCGCAAGCCUGAUGCAGCCAUGCCGCGUGUAUGAAGAAGGCCUUCGGGUUGUAAAGUACUUUCAGCGGGGAGGAAGGGAGUAAAGUUAAUACCUUUGCUCAUUGACGUUACCCGCAGAAGAAGCACCGGCUAACUCCGUGCCAGC
RNAcentral lists this ribosomal RNA (476 nucleotides) under uncultured bacterium. RNAcentral's name for it is "bacterial SSU rRNA". It matches the Rfam family "Bacterial small subunit ribosomal RNA", at positions 47 to 512 of the family's 1533-position model. The record is from RNAcentral.